GGUGGAGCCAAUCUUGAAAUACCACCCUGGUCAUGUUGGGGUUCUAACUCAGGUAUAACAAUACCGAGGACAAUGUAUGGUGGGUAGUUUGACUGGGGCGGUCUCCUCCUAAAGAGUAACGGAGGAGUACGAAGGUGCGCUCAGACCGGUCGGAAAUCGGUCGUAGAGUAUAAAGGCAAAAGCGCGCUUAACUGCGAGACCCACAAGUCGAGCAGGUACGAAAGUAGGUCUUAGUGAUCCGGUGGUUCUGUAUGGAAGGGCCAUCGCUCAACGGAUAAAAGGUACUCUGGGGAUAACAGGCUGAUACCGCCCAAGAGUUCAUAUCGACGGCGGUGUUUGGCACCUCGAUGUCGGCUCAUCUCAUCCUAGGGCUGAAGCAGGUCCUAAGGGUAUGGCUGUUCGCCAUUUAAAGAGGUACGCGAGCUGGGUUUAGAACGUCGUGAGACAGUUCGGUCCCUAUCUACCGUGGGCGUUGGAAAUUUGAGAGGAUCUGCUCCUAGUACGAGAGGACCAGAGUGGACGAACCUCUGGUGUUCGGGUUGUCACGCCAGUGGCAUUGCCCGGUAGCUACGUUCGGAUGGGAUAACCGCUGAAAGCAUCUAAGCGGGAAGCCCACCUCAAGAUUAGAUUUCCCUAAAGAGCCGUUCAAGACUAGGACGUUGAUAGGCAGGGUGUGGAAGCGCAGCGAUGCGUGUAGCUAACCUGUACUAAUUGCUCGUUUGGCUUGACCAUACAACACCCAAG
RNAcentral lists this ribosomal RNA (744 nucleotides) under Psychrobacter sp. 230. RNAcentral's name for it is "partial 23S ribosomal RNA". It matches the Rfam family "Bacterial large subunit ribosomal RNA", at positions 2179 to 2925 of the family's 2925-position model. Lineage: Bacteria; Pseudomonadati; Pseudomonadota; Gammaproteobacteria; Moraxellales; Moraxellaceae. The record is from RNAcentral.